GACGAACCGAGCGAACGUUGUUCGGAAUCACUGGGCUUAAAGGGCGCGUAGGCGGGUUCUCAAGUCCGGGGUGAAAUCCCACAGCUCAACUGUGGAACUGCCUCGGAUACUGGGAGUCUCGAGGGUGGCAGGGGUAUGCGGAACUAUCGGUGGAGCGGUGAAAUGCGUUGAUAUCGAUAGGAACUCCGGUGGCGAAGGCGGCAUACUGGUCCACUUCUGACGCUGAGGCGCGAAAGCCAGGGGAGCAAACGGG
RNAcentral lists this ribosomal RNA (253 nucleotides) under uncultured bacterium. RNAcentral's name for it is "partial 16S ribosomal RNA". It matches the Rfam family "Bacterial small subunit ribosomal RNA", at positions 524 to 776 of the family's 1533-position model. The record is from RNAcentral.